Long non-coding RNA from Cucumis melo (muskmelon), 528 nucleotides. RefSeq lists it as uncharacterized. The record is from RefSeq and is a predicted model, not a curated record. The transcript is spliced from 2 exons. Lineage: Eukaryota; Viridiplantae; Streptophyta; Magnoliopsida; Cucurbitales; Cucurbitaceae.
CUAAAAAAAAUACACAUUUUAAAACUAUUUGUGCAUUUGGAUGUGCAUAGUGCUCUUUUAAGGUUUUGGAGUUUGCGGUGUUCUCCAAAAUUACUACUGCACAAUUGCCCUACCAACUAAAUGUAUCAUUAUAUUAUAGUAGAUGGCACCAACUAUGUGAAAAACAAUAUAAGAUUUGAAGUUGUUCUGGAGCAGAUAACAUAGGAAAAAUCACUAGGGUGUUCAUUGCUACGAGGAGUUUGCGCUACCAAAGUUCAAAGUGCUCAUAAUCUUGUUGUAUGAGUAUCAUUUCUCACUUCUCAAAAGCUAGAAAAUGUUGUAGGUCACUAGAAAAAAUGUUGCAUAGUUAGACAAUGCUUUUCGAUGGCUCUUUAAAACAGGGUUAGUUGUUUUUUAGGUCCUAAUUUAGACAAUGCUCUUCGAUGACUCUUUAAAAGAGAGUUAUUAGUUGUCUUUUAGGUCCUAAUUUAUACAUAGUGAUGAUAAAAUGUUGAUAUUGUGGUGUGAAAAUAGCUAAAAUUACCUUUU